UAUAGUUCCUCCUGUAAGUCGCUCUGGAUAAGAGCAUCUGCUAAAUGACUAACA
Molecule: non-coding RNA, 54 nt
Organism: Salmo salar (Atlantic salmon)
Lineage: Eukaryota; Metazoa; Chordata; Actinopteri; Salmoniformes; Salmonidae
Source: Rfam